Molecule: long non-coding RNA, 444 nt
Organism: Alnus glutinosa
Lineage: Eukaryota; Viridiplantae; Streptophyta; Magnoliopsida; Fagales; Betulaceae
Exons: 2
Source: RefSeq, a predicted model, not a curated record
UCUCCAACAACAUACCCAUACGGAAUAAAUAGUGACGAAAUUGUAAACCGAAAAUAGGCAAUGAGUCCAAUAAUGAUCUCAAUAAACCAGAAAAGACCUGGACCUCUAUAUCUUGGGCAAUAACUGUAUUCUAGGUAGAAGGAACACGGGUUGAAGGAAGAGAGGAGGAGGGGAGGAGGAGGGACUUCCUCAAGCUUUUUUCGACCUGGGGGAAGGGGUUAACUUGUCCUUUGUGAGAGUUUUCUUCCUGCAACCAAGACAACAAGCAUGCUGUCUGCAACGUUAGCUGUACCAAUUGUUCUUCACAACUCGCAGCACCUUCACUCUUAACACCUUUCUGUGGCCGAGCAACCCAAAAGAACAAGGGAUACUCCAAGAAGAACAAGGGAUAAAUGUAUUCCUUUAAUUAUUAGUAAUAAAUUUGUAGGAUUUUAAGAAUGUAAA